This 853-nucleotide ribosomal RNA is filed under the name uncultured bacterium. Its description in RNAcentral is "bacterial SSU rRNA". It matches the Rfam family "Bacterial small subunit ribosomal RNA", at positions 674 to 1523 of the family's 1533-position model. The record is from RNAcentral.
UGUAGAGGUGAAAUUCGUAUAUAUUAGGAGGAACACCAGUGGCGAAGGCGUGUAUCUGGUUCAAAUCAGACGCUGAGGCGCUGAAGGCGUGGGGAGCAAACAGGAUUAGAUACCCUGGUAGUCCACGCUGUAAACGAUGAAUGUUAAAUAUGGGAAGUUUUACUUUCCGUAUUACAGCUAACGCGUUAAACAUUCCGCUUGGGGAGUACGGUCGCACGAUUAAAACUCAAAGGAAUUGACGGGGACCCGCACAAGCCGUGGAGCAUGUGGUUUAAUUUGAUGCAACGCGAAAAACCUUACCACUCCUUGACAUGGAAUUUAUACCUAUUUGAAGGGAUAGGGUCGGUUCGUCCGGGUUUCACACAGGUGUUGCAUGGCUGUCGUCAGCUCGUGUCUUGAGAUGUUGGGUUAAGUCCCGCAACGAGCGCAACCCUCAUCCUUAGUUACCAUCAGGUAAUGCUGGGGACUUUAAGGAAACUGCCAGUGAUAAACUGGAGGAAGGUGGGGAUGAUGUCAAGUCAUCAUGGCCCUUAUGGAGUGGGCUACACACGUGCUACAAUGGUGGCUACAAUGGGUUGCAAAGUCGCGAGGGUAAGCUAAUCCCUUAAAAGCCAUCUCAGUUCGGAUUGUACUCUGCAACUCGAGUGCAUGAAGUCGGAAUCGCUAGUAAUCGUGGAUCAGCACGCCACGGUGAAUACGUUCUCGGGUCUUGUACACACUGCCCGUCACGCCAUGGGAAUUGGUUUCACUCGAAGCUAACGACGUAACCGCAAGGAGCGGACUUACUUAAAGUGGGAUCGGUGAUUGGGGUGAAGUCGUAACAAGGUAGCAGUAGGGGAAUCUGCGGCUGGAU